Molecule: long non-coding RNA, 628 nt
Filed under: Mytilus galloprovincialis (Mediterranean mussel)
Lineage: Eukaryota; Metazoa; Mollusca; Bivalvia; Mytilida; Mytilidae
Source: RNAcentral
GUCAUUACCUACGUGCCCUGUAGCUGUAUUGUAUGCCCUCAAACAUAAGUCUAGUCAUAAAAAUAUCGUUAGUGUUUACUUUUUACAUCGCAAAGACUUCUCCCCAUCCUCAAAUACAGUCGUUCAUAGAAUCGCCAAGAAAAUGACGUCUAUAGACUCUAAAUGCACAGGCUUUUUUCCCUUUAAAACGAAUUACAACUGUGGGCAAUAAAACACACGCUUAUUGUUGAAAAUGCAAAUGCUGUUUGAUUAGUUAUAUAUCAAUAAAGAGUUAGGUAGGUAAAUGAAAUAGAUAAAAAAAAACAAAACAAAAAACAGCAGCAGCCCUCAUUAAUCUUAUUUUUGGAGUGAAAUGCUUGUCAUCUUUUAAUUGUUAUUUUGUUUUUAUUUCAGGCGGUAAAUGGGGACUGUCUCUAGCUCUUCGAGAAGCCGAAUUGUUAUGUAAUACAACAAACAUAUACAUAUGCAUAUAUUCUAAAAACAUAAAUACACUAAUUGCAUUGCCAUAGAAUUUCAAUACACAACUUCAACAAUAAUUUAUUAUUGUCAUGCAAUAUCAUAAUUCCUCAGUCGGGAUUGUUGUAAGAUUGGAUAUUCACACCUCCAGGAUGACGAUACAUUGAUGCCC